AUUUUCCAAAAUAAAAGCAGAAACUAUGCAGUACAAUGAACACGGACAGGCAUUUCACAGGAGAGGAAUCGGACAUGGCCACUAAAAAUGUACCAGUACUGGACCUGGUGCACCAGUGUACAGAGAAGCCGCCGUGUGGGGCGACUCUCCAGAUAGCAGCCUGUCCCCCUGGUGCCCGGCACUGCCUCAGCAGGUGGCACCUGCUGGGGUUCUCACUCUGCAAGAUGCCUGGGGGACAUACUUCCCAACUUCUCUGUGGCAGUUUUCACUUAAAAGGAAACUUGAAUAUUUAAUCCGACCCUAAGUCAAAUCCUUCUGUGCUAGCAUGAGGGCAUGUGUGUGUGAGUGUGUCUAUAUGUGUGUGUCUAUGUGUGUCUGUGUCUGUGUGUGUGUGUCUGCAUGUCUAAUAUGUGUGUGUCUGUGUGUCUAUGUGGGUGUCUGUAUGUCUGUGUGUGUGUGUGUGUCUAUGUGUGUGUCUGUGUGUCUACAUGUGUGUCUGUGUCUGUGUGUGUGUGUCUGUGUGUAUGUCUGUGUCUGUGUGUAUGUCUGUAUGUCUGUGUGUGUGUCUGUGUGUCUACGUGUGUGUCUGUGUGUGUGUCUGUGUGUCUAUGUGUGUCUGUGUGUGUC
This 627-nucleotide long non-coding RNA is filed under the name Homo sapiens (human). RNAcentral's name for it is "non-protein coding lnc-FGFR1OP-11:1". Lineage: Eukaryota; Metazoa; Chordata; Mammalia; Primates; Hominidae. The record is from RNAcentral.